RNAcentral lists this ribosomal RNA (801 nucleotides) under uncultured bacterium. RNAcentral's name for it is "bacterial SSU rRNA". It matches the Rfam family "Bacterial small subunit ribosomal RNA", at positions 68 to 898 of the family's 1533-position model. The record is from RNAcentral.
GAUUCUCUUCGGAGAAGAGCGGCGGACGGGUGAGUAACGCGUGGGUAACCUGCCCUGUACACACGGAUAACAUACCGAAAGGUAUGCUAAUACGAGAUAAUAUACUUUUAUCGCAUGGUAGAAGUAUCAAAGCUCCGGCGGUACAGGAUGGACCCGCGUCUGAUUAGCUAGUUGGUGAGGUAACGGCUCACCAAGGCGACGAUCAGUAGCCGACCUGAGAGGGUGAUCGGCCACAUUGGAACUGAGACACGGUCCAAACUCCUACGGGAGGCAGCAGUGGGGAAUAUUGCACAAUGGGCGAAAGCCUGAUGCAGCAACGCCGCGUGAGCGAUGAAGGCCUUCGGGUCGUAAAGCUCUGUCCUCAAGGAAGAUAAUGACGGUACUUGAGGAGGAAGCCCCGGCUAACUACGUGCCAGCAGCCGCGGUAAUACGUAGGGGGCUAGCGUUAUCCGGAAUUACUGGGCGUAAAGGGUGCGUAGGUGGUUUCUUAAGUCAGAGGUGAAAGGCUACGGCUCAACCGUAGUAAGCCUUUGAAACUGGGAAACUUGAGUGCAGGAGAGGAGAGUGGAAUUCCUAGUGUAGCGGUGAAAUGCGUAGAUAUUAGGAGGAACACCAGUUGCGAAGGCGGCUCUCUGGACUGUAACUGACACUGAGGCACGAAAGCGUGGGGAGCAAACAGGAUUAGAUACCCUGGUAGUCCACGCCGUAAACGAUGAGUACUAGCUGUCGGAGGUUACCUCCUUCGGUGGCGCAGCUAACGCAUUAAGUACUCCGCCUGGGAAGUACGCUCGCAAGAGUGAA